AUAAGCGCACACGGUGGAUGCCUUGGCGGUCAGAGGCGAUGAAGGACGUGGCAGCCUGCGAAAAGUAUCGGGGAGCUGGCAACAAGCUUUGAUCCGGUAAUGUCCGAAUGGGGAAACCCACCCGCUUGCGGGUAUCCUGCAGUGAAUACAUAGCUGCUGGAAGCGAACCUGGUGAACUGAAAUAUCUAAGUAACCAGAGGAAAAGAAAUCAACCGAGAUUCCGUAAGUAGCGACGAGCGAACGCGGACUAGCCCUUAAGCUGGAUUGGUUCUAGGAAAACGCUCUGGAAAGAGCGGCCAUAGAAGGUGAUAGCCCUGUAUCUGAAAGGGCCAUUCCAGUGAAGACGAGUAGGGCGGGGCACGUGAAACCCUGUCUGAACAUGGGGGGACCAUCCUCCAAGGCUAAAUACUACUGACCGACCGAUAGUGAACCAGUACCGUGAGGGAAAGGCGAAAAGAACCCCGGAGAGGGGAGUGAAAUAGAACCUGAAACCGUGUGCGUACAAGCAGUAGGAGCUCCGCAAGGAGUGACUGCGUACCUUUUGUAUAAUGGGUCAGCGACUUACUGUUCGUGGCAAGCUUAACCGUAUAGGGGAGGCGAAGGGAAACCGAGUCUGAUAAGGGCGCAUAGUCGCGGGCAGUAGACCCGAAACCGGGUGAUCUAGUCAUGCCCAGGGUGAAGGUGCGGUAACACGCACUGGAGGCCCGAACCCACUCCCGUUGCAAAGGUAGGGGAUGAGGUGUGAUUAGGAGUGAAAAGCUAAUCGAACCCGGAGAUAGCUGGUUCUCCUCGAAAGCUAUUUAGGUAGCGCCUCAUAUGUAUCCUCUCGGGGGUAGAGCACUGUUAUGGCUAGGGGGUCAUCGCGACUUACCAAACCAUUGCAAACUCCGAAUACCGAGACGGACUGUAUGGGAGACACACGGCGGGUGCUAACGUCCGUCGUGAAAAGGGAAACAACCCAGACCCACAGCUAAGGUCCCAAAUUCACUGCUAAGUGGAAAACCAUGUGGAAAGGCACAGACAGCCAGGAGGUUGGCUUAGAAGCAGCCACCCUUUAAAGAAAGCGUAAUAGCUCACUGGUCGAGUCGGUCUGCGGGGAAGAUUUAACGGGGCUAAGCAGUGAACCGAAGCUUGGGGUGCAUACUUUGUAUGCGCGGUAGAGGAGCGUUCCGUAAGCCGUUGAAGGUGGAUUGAGAAGUCUGCUGGAGGUAUCGGAAGUGCGAAUGCUGACAUGAGUAACGAUAAUGCGGGUGAAAAACCCGCACGCCGAAAGCCCAAGGUUUCCUUGCGCAACGUUAAUCGGCGCAGGGUGAGUCGGCCCCUAAGGCGAGGACGAAAGUCGUAGUCGAUGGGAAGCAGGUUAAUAUUCCUGCACCUCGCGUAAGUGCGAUGGAGGGACGGAGAAGGUUAGGUGUACCAGGCGUUGGUUGUCCUGGGGAAAGGCGGUAGGUUUGGAUCUUUGGCAAAUCCGGGAUCCUUUAAGACCGAGCACCGAGACGAGCCUUUAUGGCGAAGUCACUGAUACCACGCUUCCAGGAAAAGCUCCUAAGCUUCAGCUUACGCAGACCGUACCGUAAACCGACACAGGUGGGUAGGAUGAGAAUUCUCAGGCGCUUGAGAGAACUCGGGUGAAGGAACUAGGCAACAUGGCACCGUAACUUCGGGAGAAGGUGCACCCUUUUUGGUGGCUCGUGCGAGCUAUAGCUGAAGAGGGUCGCAGUAACCAGGCCGCUGCGACUGUUUAUCAAAAACACAGCACUCUGCAAACACGAAAGUGGACGUAUAGGGUGUGACGCCUGCCCGGUGCUGGAAGGUUAAUUGAUGGGGUCAGCCGCAAGGCGAAGCUCUUGAUCGAAGCCCCAGUAAACGGCGGCCGUAACUAUAACGGUCCUAAGGUAGCGAAAUUCCUUGUCGGGUAAGUUCCGACCUGCACGAAUGGCGUAACGACAGCGGCGCUGUCUCCACCCGAGACUCAGUGAAAUUGAAAUCGCUGUGAAGAUGCAGCGUUCCCGUGGCAAGACGGAAAGACCCCGUGAACCUUUACUAUAGCUUUACACUGAACGUUGAGUUCGUCUGUGUAGGAUAGGUGGGAGGCUAUGAAACUGUGGCGCUAGCUGCAGUGGAGCCAUCCUUGAAAUACCACCCUGUCGUGCUUGACGUUCUAACCUGGGCCCAUUAUCUGGGUCGGGGACCGUGUAUGGUGGGUAGUUUGACUGGGGCGGUCUCCUCCUAAAGAGUAACGGAGGAGCGCGAAGGUACGCUCAGCGCGGUCUGACAUCGCGCACUGUGUGCAAAGGCCUACGCGUCCUUGACUGCAAGAUCGACUGAUCAAGCAGGUAGGAAACUAGGACUUAGUGAUCCGGUGGUUCUGUAUGGAAGGGCCAUCGCUCAACGGAUAAAAGGUACUCCGGGGAUAACAGGCUGAUACCGCCCAAGAGUUCAUAUCGACGGCGGUGUUUGGCACCUCGAUGUCGGAUCAUCACAUCCUGGGGCUGUAGUCGGUCCCAAGGGUAUGGCUGUUCGCCAUUUAAAGUGGUACGCGAGCUGGGUUCAGAACGUCGUGAGACAGUUCGGUCCCUAUCUGCCAUGGGCGUUGGAGAUUUGAGAGGGGCUGCUCCUAGUACGAGAGGACCGGAGUGGACGAACCUCUGGUGUUCCGGUUGUCACGCCAGUGGCAUUGCCGGGUAGCUAUGUUCGGAAGCGAUAACCGCUGAAAGCAUCUAAGCGGGAAGCGCGCCUCAAGAUGAGAUCUCCCGGGGCACAAGCCCCCUGAAGGAACCAUGUAGACUACGUGGUUGAUAGGUCAGGUGUGUAAGUACAGCAAUGUAUUGAGCUAACUGAUACUAAUGAUCCGUGCGGCUUGACC
Molecule: ribosomal RNA, 2866 nt
Filed under: Stenotrophomonas maltophilia
Lineage: Bacteria; Pseudomonadati; Pseudomonadota; Gammaproteobacteria; Lysobacterales; Lysobacteraceae
Description: bacterial LSU rRNA
Rfam family: Bacterial large subunit ribosomal RNA
Source: RNAcentral